Molecule: transfer RNA, 72 nt
Filed under: Ornithorhynchus anatinus (platypus)
Lineage: Eukaryota; Metazoa; Chordata; Mammalia; Monotremata; Ornithorhynchidae
Rfam family: tRNA
About the family: Transfer RNA (tRNA) molecules are approximately 80 nucleotides in length. Their secondary structure includes four short double-helical elements and three loops (D, anti-codon, and T loops). Further hydrogen bonds mediate the characteristic L-shaped molecular structure. tRNAs have two regions of fundamental functional importance: the anti-codon, which is responsible for specific mRNA codon recognition, and the 3' end, to which the tRNAs corresponding amino acid is attached (by aminoacyl-tRNA synthetases). tRNAs cope with the degeneracy of the genetic code in two manners: having more than one tRNA (with a specific anti-codon) for a particular amino acid; and 'wobble' base-pairing, i.e. permitting non-standard base-pairing at the 3rd anti-codon position.
Source: Rfam by way of RNAcentral
AGCAGUGUGGCUCAAUAGAAAGAGCUUGGGCUUGGGAGUCAGAGGUCAUGGGUUCGAAUCCUGGCUCUGCCA